CACGGAUAACAUACCGAAAGGUAUGCUAAUACGGGAUAAUAUAUUUGAGAGGCAUCUCUUGAAUAUCAAAGGUGAGCCAGUACAGGAUGGACCCGCGUCUGAUUAGCUAGUUGGUAAGGUAAAGGCUUACCAAGGCGACGAUCAGUAGCCGACCUGAGAGGGUGAUCGGCCACAUUGGAACUGAGACACGGUCCAAACUCCUACGGGAGGCAGCAGUGGGGAAUAUUGCACAAUGGGCGAAAGCCUGAUGCAGCAACGCCGCGUGAGUGAUGAAGGCCUUCGGGUCGUAAAACUCUGUCCUCAAGGAAGAUAAUGACGGUACUUGAGGAGGAAGCCCCGGCUAACUACGUGCCAGCAGCCGCGGUAAUACGUAGGGGGCUAGCGUUAUCCGGAUUUACUGGGCGUAAAGGGUGCGUAGGCGGUCUUUCAAGUCAGGAGUGAAAGGCUACGGCUCAACCGUAGUAAGCUCUUGAAACUGGGAGACUUGAGUGCAGGAGAGGAGAGUGGAAUUCCUAGUGUAGCGGUGAAAUGCGUAGAUAUUAGGAGGAACACCAGUUGCGAAGGCGGCUCUCUGGACUGUAACUGACGCUGAGGCACGAAAGCGUGGGGAGCAAACAGGAUUAGAUACCCUGGUAGUCCACGCUGUAAACGAUGAGUACUAGGUGUCGGGGGUUACCCCCUUCGGUGCCGCAGCUAACG
Molecule: ribosomal RNA, 699 nt
Filed under: uncultured bacterium
Lineage: Bacteria
Description: bacterial SSU rRNA
Rfam family: Bacterial small subunit ribosomal RNA
Source: RNAcentral